Molecule: small nuclear RNA, 161 nt
Filed under: Oryza longistaminata (longstamen rice)
Lineage: Eukaryota; Viridiplantae; Streptophyta; Magnoliopsida; Poales; Poaceae
Description: snRNA U1
Rfam family: U1 spliceosomal RNA
About the family: U1 is a small nuclear RNA (snRNA) component of the spliceosome (involved in pre-mRNA splicing). Its 5' end forms complementary base pairs with the 5' splice junction, thus defining the 5' donor site of an intron.
Source: RNAcentral
AUACUUACCUGGACGGGGUCGACGGCCGAUCAAGAAGGGCCGUGGCCUAGAUCAAUGGCUCACAUUGCACUUGGUGAGUGCGUUGGUUUACCAUCUCCCCAAGUGGGAGAGUGGACGUCAUAAUUUGUGGUAGAGGGGGUACGCGUUCGCGCGGCCCCUGC